Molecule: small nuclear RNA, 107 nt
Organism: Trichosurus vulpecula (common brushtail)
Lineage: Eukaryota; Metazoa; Chordata; Mammalia; Diprotodontia; Phalangeridae
Source: RefSeq, a predicted model, not a curated record
GUGCUCGCUUCAGCAGCGCAUAUACUAAAACUGGAACGAUACAGAGAAGAUUAGCAUGGCCCCUGGGCGAGAAUGACACGCAAAUUCAUGACACACGUUCCAUAUUA